RNAcentral lists this ribosomal RNA (440 nucleotides) under uncultured bacterium. Its description in RNAcentral is "partial 16S ribosomal RNA". It matches the Rfam family "Bacterial small subunit ribosomal RNA", at positions 338 to 795 of the family's 1533-position model. The record is from RNAcentral.
CCUACGGGAGGCAGCAGUGGGGGAUAUUGCACAAUGGGGGAAACCCUGAUGCAGCGACGCCGCGUGUGGGAAGACGGUCCUCUGGAUUGUAAACCACUGUCCCCAGGGACGACGAUGACGGUUCCUGGGUAGGAAGCUCCGGCUAACUACGUGCCAGCAGCCGCGGUAAUACGUAGGGAGCAAGCGUUGUCCGGAAUUACUGGGGGAAAAGGGAGCGUAGGCGGGAUAGCAAGUUGGGGGUUAAAUCUACCGGCUAAACCGGUAGUCGCACUUAAAACUGCUAUUCUUGAGUGAAGUAGAGGCAGGCGGAAUUCCUAGUGUAGCGGUGAAAUGCGUAGAUAUUAGGAGGAACACCAGUGGCGAAGGCGGCCUGCUGGGCUUUUACUGACGCUGAGGCUCGAAAGUGUGGGGAGCAAACAGGAUUAGAUACCCCUGUAGUC